ACAAUCCCAUUCAAACAACGCCUUCGACCCAUCGUCCAUUCAAACGAUCUCUUAUAUAUCUAUGUCGAUCCUGGCUUUGGCCUAUUAUCCUUACUACCACAGCAAGUUUGCUAGCAAGAAUUUUCUUACAAGAAAUGGCAGGAAGUUCUAUGAGGGCUGCUCUGGUGACUCUGUUCAUCUUCGCAAUGGUUCUGUCUCCGAUUACAACCUCCGAGGCUGCUCGGUUCACGUUUCUAGGUAAUUCCCAGAUACCAUCAACAGUAUAACGUACACUGACAAAUGUUGUUGUUUUGGAUUGGGGAAUGUUGAUCUUGAUUUUUAUUUUAUUUUUGCUUUGCAGAUACAACUCCCAUAUGUCCUGCUUGUGUUUGCUGCGCACCUCCACCGCCGGGCUCUUGCUGCGAUUGUUGUGCCUCACCGAUUGAAACUCAGUCCGAGCAAGGGUCUCCAUAGGACAGCAAAUAUGUUUGUCAUGAAGAAGAGUACACGUAUAUGUAAUUAUCUAUAAAUAAUGGGGUUCACGGUGUCAGAGAAAAAGAACCAUCAUUUGUAUGUAGAAAGUGAUGACAUGGUUGUUUCAUAAUGAAGCAAUAAGAUUAAUUAAGAUUGUAUAAGGAUUAUUGUAUCCUUACACAUGUAUACUUCAAACAUAUAUUUCUCUUUAUACAGUAGACAUAUUACAAAUUAGUGAGAUAGUUCUAAUCAUCAUAUUGGUUCUCAUCCUAAUUAGGGCCGGGUUAACUUCAUAUAAACCCAAUGAUUUUUAUACAAAAUAAGACAACAUUAAAUUACAAAAUUCUUACUACAACCAAACACUUAGAGAGUCAAAAUAGAAGGCUUAACCAGCUGCAAGAGGAAGGGAUAUGUCCCAGGCUUGCGUUCCAAGUUGAUGUUCCAACUUUGCAAUAGCUUCCGCCACAAAAAAGUUAGAUUCCCGAUGAACAUGUGUGAAAAAAACUUGUCCAAUUUGAGAGGCAAAGAAAAUGAUAUCUUUGACAAGAACUUGAAUCUUUCAAGGGGAAAGACACGUACCAUUGAUGGAUUGAUAAGGAUUUGUGAAUCUCCUUCAACUAUAAUUUUUGGAUAACCAUGGAUCAAGGCUGCUAAUAAACCCGUACACAACGCAGAAGGUUUAGCAGUAAGUACAUCAUUAUUUUUAGUAGAUGCUAGAAUUGGUUGACCAUCUGCAUCUCUAAUUACAAACCCUGAUGAGGCAGAGUGAUUCUGAACGGAUCUGUCAAAAUUGAGUUUAAGUGUCUGAGGAGGAGGAGCAUGCCAACGAAUAGGCUUAAUAAACCUAUAAGAUUUCUUAGUGUAAUAAGCAUUAACAGUAGAAUAAUAACAAAAAAAAAUUCGUUGCAAAGUAAACAACAUUUUCAGGAUGGACGACAUGGUUUCUAAAUAAAUAAAUGUAAGAUCAUUUCUUGCUUUCCAAAAACCUACCACUAAGGUCCCAAACCCGGGUCCAAGAAUGAGUACGUGUGUGCCCAUAGUCUAAAGCCCAUCUCAUCCCAUCUAAUUAAGCCCCAAACAGCCCACAGUGGAAACCCAAAUGUGCUAUGGACACCCAAUCUUGCCUUGUUGAUGUCCUUCGAUAACCGACUGACUUGGACGACGACCACACCCGAUCGGUUUGGAAAUGCAGCCACAACACCACUCGUCAGAGAACGCCCGUAGCGUACCAUGAUUUAUUGACAUAGAAAGAAAAAACGUUAACAUAGUAAGAAAAAAUGAAGCCUCUGAAUAAACAUAUGGGACAUACCUUCUCAUUUUUUUUUUUUUUGUCAAUUUAGAUGGCUUUUGCAUUUAGCUCUGUUCUCUAAUUUUGUCAAAUUAGGCACAUCCUCAUUAUCUAGCUUCUCUCUUCUAUAUGAAGAGUUGCCAAGUCAACUAUGAUCAAUGGAGAAAUUGGACAACAAGCCUCGAGCUUUAGUGGUGCUAACUAGUUCGUUAUAUAACGAACACAACUGGAUUUUAAGCUAGUUAUUUCGUUAAUGAUGUAUGAACCUUUCACAUUUAUGAACACGUUAAUGAUUUUCAAUUUAGAUACAAAUUUGCAGAGAUGAUCUACUCAUAUAUACCUAAAAACUAGACGAUCGAUCUUCAAUUUAAAUAUCCGAUCAAAAAGUGAUUGAAAUAAAGAAGUCCUCAACUUAGUAAUUCUCAUUAAAAAGGGCUAUGAAUCCGUAAAAUAAAUGGACGAAUUGUAUGCCAGUGUUUAAUGGUGAACAGUUGAGAAAAAGAGGAAGAAAUGAUCUAGAAUGUCAAUGUAUACAUGUUGCAGCAAAGUGGAAAGUCAACAAUCCCAUUCAAUCAACGCCUCCGACCCAUCGUCCAUUCAGACAAUCGCUUAUAUAUCUAUGUCCUGGUUUGGCCUAUUAUCCUUGCUACCACAGCAAGUUUGCUAGUAAGAAUUUUGUUAUACAAGAAAUGGCAGGAAGUUCUAUGAGGUCUGCUCUGGUGACUCUGUUCAUCUUCGCAAUGGUUCUGUCUCCGAUUACAACCUCCGAGGCUGCUCGGUUCACGUUUCUAGGUAAUUCCCAGAUACCAUUAACAGUAUAACAAUGUAAACGUUGUUGUUUUGGAAUGGGGAAUGUUGUUCUUGAAUUUUUUUGCUCUGCAGAUACAACUCCCUUAUGUCCUGCUUGCGUUUGCUGCGAUUGUUGUGCCGGACUGAUUCAAAAACAGUUCGAGCAAGGGUCUCCAUGAGAGAGAGAGAGAGAGUUGUUUUAAGGAGAGUAUAUGUAUAUAUCUAUAUAUGGGGUUCUUAGUGUUAAAGAAAAAAUAAUCAUCACACGUAUAGAGAAAGUUGUGACAUGGGUUUCUAGCUCAUGGGGAAACCAUGUUCUAUCAAGGUUUUGGUGUUUCAUAGUGAAGCAAUAAGAUUAAGCUUGUAUAAGGAUUAUAUAUUGUAUCCUUAGACAUGUAUACUUCAACACCGUUAUAAAGAGAAAUAUAUGAAAGACAUACAUAAGUUAUCUUAGCGUUAUAAGGAGUGUGUAUUAUCAUUUGAAUCGAAAUUAUAGGCCGAUUUGAAGAUUGGAAGUAUAAAAAGUUCUUGUGAUUAUCCCUAAUUACAUACACCUUCCAACUAGGGCCGGGCGCGGGCCAAGACCGGCCACAGAUUUGGCAAGACCGGGACCGGACCGGCGGUACAGAAACUGGUCCAAGCUUCCACCUGAAAAUUUCCCAGACUGACCAAAGCCCAGACCAACCAAAAACUGGCCGAUCCUUCGGGCCUUCGAUACUUCACAAUGCGGUCUGAAAAUUGAAGCUCACACUAUGACACUAUCAAUCAAAAAUGACUCUUUCAGUCUUCAAUUUCAGUUUCAGCCUAAUUCAAAGUUCAAACUCAGAGAGAAGAAACUAGAAGAUGAAGAAGACGACUCACAUAUCGACUAUGGUUAACGUACAAUGGUCGACGAAUUCCAG
Molecule: long non-coding RNA, 3432 nt
Filed under: Fragaria vesca (wild strawberry)
Lineage: Eukaryota; Viridiplantae; Streptophyta; Magnoliopsida; Rosales; Rosaceae
Description: long non-coding RNA (FVES_LNC002090)
Source: RNAcentral